GAGAGAGAAGUAUAUUGGAGAUACAUUUAGUUUGAAACUAGGAUAAGGUGGUUCGAUUCCCCCCCCUCUUG
Molecule: transfer RNA, 71 nt
Filed under: Varanus exanthematicus
Lineage: Eukaryota; Metazoa; Chordata; Lepidosauria; Squamata; Varanidae
Description: tRNA-Ser
Rfam family: tRNA
About the family: Transfer RNA (tRNA) molecules are approximately 80 nucleotides in length. Their secondary structure includes four short double-helical elements and three loops (D, anti-codon, and T loops). Further hydrogen bonds mediate the characteristic L-shaped molecular structure. tRNAs have two regions of fundamental functional importance: the anti-codon, which is responsible for specific mRNA codon recognition, and the 3' end, to which the tRNAs corresponding amino acid is attached (by aminoacyl-tRNA synthetases). tRNAs cope with the degeneracy of the genetic code in two manners: having more than one tRNA (with a specific anti-codon) for a particular amino acid; and 'wobble' base-pairing, i.e. permitting non-standard base-pairing at the 3rd anti-codon position.
Source: RNAcentral